Bufo bufo (common toad) is the source of this 193-nucleotide small nuclear RNA. RefSeq annotates it as U2 spliceosomal RNA. The record is from RefSeq and is a predicted model, not a curated record. Lineage: Eukaryota; Metazoa; Chordata; Amphibia; Anura; Bufonidae. The transcript has a single exon.
AUGUCCUUUUUUUUAAAAUUAAAAACAAUCUGUUCUUAACAGUUUAACCUCUGUUACGUCCCCUAACAGGGGCCGGUGUAUGGAAUAGAUUUUAGGAACCGGGAUGUGGAAAAAGAUGCUUGGUCGGUCCUCUUACUUCCAAUUUGGGGCACUGCGCGUAUGGCUUGCAAUGUACAGUACUGUGCCACCAUAU